CCUACGGGGGGCUGCAGUGGGGAAUAUUGCACAAUGGGCGCAAGCCUGAUGCAGCCAUGCCGCGUGUGUGAAGAAGGCCUUCGGGUUGUAAAGCACUUUCAGCGGGGAGGAAGGCGGUGAGAUUAAUACCCUCAUCGAUUGACGUUACCCGCAAAAGAAGCACCGGCUAACUCCGUGCCAGCAGCCGCGGUAAUACGGAGGGUGCAAGCGUUAAUCGGAAUUACUGGGCGUAAAGCGCACGCAGGCGGUCUGUCAAGUCGGAUGUGAAAUCCCCGGGCUCAACCUGGGAACUGCAUUCGAAACUGGCAGGCUAGAGUCUUGUAGAGGGGGGUAGAAUUCCAGGUGUAGCGGUGAAAUGCGUAGAGAUCUGGAGGAAUACCGGUGGCGAAGGCGGCCCCCUGGACAAAGACUGACGCUCAGGUGCGAAAGCGUGGGGAGCAAACAGGAUUAGAUACCCUAGUAGUC
RNAcentral lists this ribosomal RNA (465 nucleotides) under uncultured Klebsiella sp. Its description in RNAcentral is "bacterial SSU rRNA". It matches the Rfam family "Bacterial small subunit ribosomal RNA", at positions 338 to 795 of the family's 1533-position model. The record is from RNAcentral. Lineage: Bacteria; Pseudomonadati; Pseudomonadota; Gammaproteobacteria; Enterobacterales; Enterobacteriaceae.